GGGUCUGAGGUGCCACAGGGAAGCAGAAACUCAUCGAGAGAGGGGGGAGGUUGAAAGUCCGAGUUGCUUCUGGGUUCCUAUGGAAGGAUGUGAGCCUUACACAGUCGAUGAAAUAGAAUAUAAAAACCUGACUGCUGCAAUGAAUCAGCUCUACCACACACCUUACAAAGAUGUGGAUGAGGUAAAACCAGUCACGGUAGAAGGAGGACAGCAUUGCAGUGGCACUGGAAGCAUUCAUGUGGAUCCCAUAUAGAGCAAAGAAAUGUAGACUGUAUCGCACACAGCCCGUGACACUGCAUGUCAGCUUCUGUGGAAGUACUGCAGGAACAGUCAACUACCCAGAUGACAGCCAAAGUAUGUGCUGUAGAAGAUAC
Colius striatus (speckled mousebird) is the source of this 374-nucleotide long non-coding RNA. RefSeq lists it as uncharacterized. NCBI's taxonomy places the organism in Eukaryota, Metazoa, Chordata, Aves, Coliiformes, Coliidae. The transcript is spliced from 4 exons. The record is from RefSeq and is a predicted model, not a curated record.